Molecule: non-coding RNA, 373 nt
Organism: Zootermopsis nevadensis
Lineage: Eukaryota; Metazoa; Arthropoda; Insecta; Blattodea; Termopsidae
Source: RefSeq, a predicted model, not a curated record
UAUUGGAAUAUUUUCGCUGUACGAUUGGCCACUCUGCUCAGGCAUGGCCGUGCAGUAGCUCAAGGUCAGACGGUGACAUGUUGUCAGAGCGCUUCAGUUGUCUGUUUGUGCCGCGUGAGUCUGGUGUAAAGAUGUCUGUUCUAUUAGAGAUUUGUAAAAGGCCACGUUGCUUCUUUUGGUGUAGGAAGGAAUAAGCAGUGUUCGCCUCAGUGAAGCGUGUACGAGAAGAUCGAAAUGUUUAAAAGCAGCCGAACCAAUGGUGUUUAUGCAACAGGUGGAGGGAAAGUGCACUGAUUGGCUGCGGGGGAUCUAGCUCCUGGUAAGUAUCGUCAUGGAUUUCUCCAACUGUUGGGUGAAGUUGCUUCCAAAUGAG